This 726-nucleotide ribosomal RNA is filed under the name Lactobacillus helveticus. RNAcentral describes it as "bacterial SSU rRNA". It matches the Rfam family "Bacterial small subunit ribosomal RNA", at positions 58 to 764 of the family's 1533-position model. The record is from RNAcentral. Lineage: Bacteria; Bacillati; Bacillota; Bacilli; Lactobacillales; Lactobacillaceae.
CAGAACCAGCAGAUUUACUUCGGUAAUGACGCUGGGGACGCGAGCGGCGGAUGGGUGAGUAACACGUGGGGAACCUGCCCCAUAGUCUAGGAUACCACUUGGAAACAGGUGCUAAUCCCGGAUAAUAAAGCAGAUCGCAUGAUCAGCUUAUAAAAGGCGGCGUAAGCUGUCGCUAUGGGAUGGCCCCGCGGUGCAUUAGCUAGUUGGUAAGGUAACGGCUUACCAAGGCAAUGAUGCAUAGCCGAGUUGAGAGACUGAACGGCCACAUUGGGACUGAGACACGGCCCAAACUCCUACGGGAGGCAGCAGUAGGGAAUCUUCCACAAUGGACGCAAGUCUGAUGGAGCAACGCCGCGUGAGUGAAGAAGGUUUUCGGAUCGUAAAGCUCUGUUGUUGGUGAAGAAGGAUAGAGGUAGUAACUGGCCUUUAUUUGACGGUAAUCAACCAGAAAGUCACGGCUAACUACGUGCCAGCAGCCGCGGUAAUACGUAGGUGGCAAGCGUUGUCCGGAUUUAUUGGGCGUAAAGCGAGCGCAGGCGGAAGAAUAAGUCUGAUGUGAAAGCCCUCGGCUUAACCGAGGAAUUGCAUCGGAAACUGUUUUUCUUGAGUGCAGAAGAGGAGAGUGGAACUCCAUGUGUAGCGGUGGAAUGCGUAGAUAUAUGGAAGAACACCAGUGGCGAAGGCGGCUCUCUGGUCUGCAACUGACGCUGAGGCUCGAAAGCCUGG